RNAcentral lists this long non-coding RNA (1272 nucleotides) under Arabidopsis lyrata. RNAcentral describes it as "long non-coding RNA (ALYR_LNC003152)". The record is from RNAcentral. Lineage: Eukaryota; Viridiplantae; Streptophyta; Magnoliopsida; Brassicales; Brassicaceae.
GGUUACACUAAUGAAUCGAGUCUAGGUUCAUUCAAUUGUGACUUUUAAACCAAUUACAAGGUAUUAAGAUCCUGAAAUUUAUGUACCUUUCAAAUUGUUUCCUUGUGUGGAUAUUGUUAAUUUCUUUAUGUUAAAUAUAUGCAUGAAAAGUGGUUCACAUGUAGAAAGCAAAAAAUCAAAGAAAUCAAAUUAAAAAAUUGAAAAGAAUUAUAUAUUGAAGAAGAAGAAUAUGAGAAAAGGUAAUUCUUAAAAAAAAAGAAAAAAAAGUUAUUAUAUAUAGGGUUCUAUAUAUUAUAAUCGUUUGAUUAAUUUGAGUUCGAUGUUUUUGAAUUAUCUUUUUAACCAUGUAAGGCUUCUUCAGAAACCAAAAUUUAACAUAUUUGUUUGCCAAAUCUAAACGAUUAGGAUGACAAUUAUAAUAACGAUAGCAGGUGACUUUUUUUUUUUUGUAAUUGUCCGUAUUAUUUUCAAGUAUAUUUUUAUCAUCAAUAAGAGGACAAGUAUGAAUGAGUAGAUUUAAAUAUUCUGAAGAUUAUAUUGCUAUUCAAUUUAAGAUUUAUCAAAACUUAAUCAAAGUUUGAUGUUAUUUGUUUAUGUAUUUGAAAAUAGUAAUCUAAAAGAUUCAUAAAUUUGGAGUUAUUGGAGACCAUAUUUUAUAAAUUUGAAGCUCUAAAACCUAUAAAAAUUUCAUAGCUUAAGUCGAAACCACUAGCUUGUAUACUACAUAAAAAUCGAAGUUAUAAGCUUCGGAAACCAUCAACAAAAUUCCAAAAGACUAAUCACGAUUAGCCAUCUCGGUAAAUUUUUUCUUUACAUAGAUAUUGUUAAUUUCUUUAUGUAAAAUAUAUGCAUGAAAAGUGGUUCGCAUGUAGAAUGCAAAGAAAUCAAAGAAAUCAAAUAAAUAAAAAAGUAAAAGAAUUAUAUAUAUUGAAGAAGAACAAGAGAAGUAAAAAAGUAAUUCUUAAAAAAAAAUAAAAAAAAAGGUAAUUAUAUAUAGGGUUCUAUAUAUUAUAAAGGUUUGAUUAAUUUGAGUUAUUUGUUUUAAAAUUAUGUUUUUAACCAAGCAAGGCUUCUUCAGAAACCAAAGUUUGGCGUGUUUGUUAGCCAAAUCUAACCGAUUACGAUGAACAGUUAUAUUAAAGAUUGCAGGUGACUAUUUUUUUUUUGUAAUUAUCCGUAUUAUUUUCGCGUAUUUUUUUAUCAUCAAUAAGAGAACAAGUAUGAAGGAGUAGAUUUAAAUAAUAUGAAUAAUAUAUUGUUAUUUAAUUUAAG